GUUUUGACUAGUUUGUGAUAUCGAAAACCCUGGUGUAAUAAUUUUUCAGUAAUACAUAAAUUUCUCUCGUUAAAAUCUAAAACAUUGUUACAUACACGAGCGAAUCGUACAAGUUGAGAUAUAUAAACACCGUAAGAUGGUGACAAGGGAACGUCACCAUCUAAAAACGGAUAAUUAACGAUAGGAAAUAAAAAAUCAUCCCUUUUAUCAUAAAUUUUAGUAUUCAGCU
RNAcentral lists this long non-coding RNA (229 nucleotides) under Mytilus galloprovincialis (Mediterranean mussel). Lineage: Eukaryota; Metazoa; Mollusca; Bivalvia; Mytilida; Mytilidae. The record is from RNAcentral.